This 167-nucleotide unclassified non-coding RNA is filed under the name soil metagenome. RNAcentral describes it as "partial internal transcribed spacer 1". The record is from RNAcentral.
CAGAGUUGCAAGACUCCCUAAACCAUUGUGAACGUUACCUAUACCGUUGCUUCGGCGGGCGGCCCCGGUUCGCCCCGGCCCCCUGGCCCCAUCGCGGGCGCCCGCCGGAGGUCACCAAACUCUUGAUAAUUAGUGGCCUCUCUGAGUCUUCUGUACUGAAUAAGUCA